Lucilia cuprina (Australian sheep blowfly) is the source of this 2317-nucleotide RNA transcript. It is a transcript of the gene named V-type proton ATPase catalytic subunit A, with no coding region annotated. The transcript is spliced from 7 exons. NCBI's taxonomy places the organism in Eukaryota, Metazoa, Arthropoda, Insecta, Diptera, Calliphoridae. The record is from RefSeq and is a predicted model, not a curated record.
AAAUAAUCAGCUCUAUACAAGAAGAAAAGGGUACUCGUGAGAUUUUCUUUAGUCUAUAGCAGAUUUUCAACAGAGCAGAACACCUAAUAAAAAUUCUAAAAACACAGAGUAAAAAGAAAGAAUUGCAAUAAAACAUGUCCUUGUUAAAACGUUUCGAUGAUGAAGAGCGAGAAUCGACCUAUGGUCGUGUCUAUGCAGUAUCUGGUCCCGUGGUAACUGCUGAAUGUAUGUCGGGUUCUGCUAUGUACGAAUUAGUGCGUGUAGGCUACUAUGAGCUGGUGGGAGAAAUUAUUCGUUUAGAGGGUGAUAUGGCCACUAUACAGGUGUAUGAAGAAACUUCUGGUGUAACAGUAGGUGAUCCGGUUUUAAGAACCGGCAAACCUUUAUCUGUAGAACUGGGUCCUGGCAUUAUGGGCAGUAUAUUCGAUGGUAUUCAAAGACCUUUAAAGGAUAUUGGUGAAAUGACCAGUUCUAUCUAUAUACCCAAGGGUGUUAAUGUACCGGCUUUAUCACGUACCGUAUCGUGGGAAUUUAGUCCCACAAAUGUUAAGAUUGGUUCUCAUAUAACUGGAGGCGAUUUGUUUGGUGUAGUUCAAGAGAAUACUUUAGUAAAACAUCGUAUGAUUGUGGCUCCCAGGGCUAGGGGUACUGUUAAAUAUCUUGCCCCUCCCGGUAACUAUACCGUCGAGGAUGUUGUAAUGGAAACUGAGUUUGAUGGAGAGAUUACUAAACAUACAAUGUUGCAAGUAUGGCCUGUACGUCAACCAAGACCUUGUACCGAAAAAUUGCCUGCUAAUCAUCCUUUGUUUACGGGUCAACGUGUUUUGGAUUCAUUGUUCCCUUGUGUACAAGGUGGUACUACGGCUAUUCCAGGUGCUUUUGGUUGUGGCAAAACUGUUAUUUCACAGGCUCUUUCGAAAUACUCCAAUUCGGAUGUGAUUAUUUAUGUGGGCUGCGGAGAACGUGGCAAUGAAAUGUCUGAGGUCUUAAGAGAUUUCCCUGAGCUAACUUGUGAAAUCGAUGGUGUUACCGAAUCCAUUAUGAAACGUACAGCAUUGGUGGCAAAUACCUCUAACAUGCCGGUAGCUGCUCGUGAAGCCUCUAUUUAUACGGGCAUAACAUUAUCCGAAUAUUUCCGUGAUAUGGGCUAUAAUGUAGCCAUGAUGGCUGAUUCUACUUCACGUUGGGCUGAAGCUCUUCGUGAAAUUUCUGGACGUUUAGCUGAAAUGCCUGCCGAUUCUGGUUAUCCUGCCUAUUUGGGUGCCCGUCUAGCUACUUUCUAUGAACGAGCUGGACGUGUUAAAUGUUUGGGUAAUCCUGAACGUGAGGGUUCAGUUUCUAUUGUGGGUGCUGUAUCACCACCCGGUGGUGAUUUCUCUGAUCCUGUUACCUCUGCUACUUUGGGUAUUGUACAAGUGUUCUGGGGUCUAGAUAAAAAAUUGGCUCAACGUAAACAUUUUCCCUCUAUCAAUUGGUUGAUUUCUUAUUCGAAAUAUAUGAGAGCUUUAGAUGAAUACUAUGACAAAAAUUUCCCCGAAUUUGUGCCACUACGUACUAAAGUUAAGGAAAUUCUACAAGAGGAAGAAGAUCUCUCGGAAAUUGUACAAUUGGUGGGUAAAGCUUCUUUAGCUGAAACCGAUAAAAUCACUUUGGAAGUGGCUAAGUUGUUGAAAGAUGAUUUCUUGCAACAAAACUCCUAUUCACCCUAUGACCGUGUAUGUCCCUUUUACAAAACUGUGGGCAUGUUAAGAAAUAUGAUUACUUUCUAUGAACUAGCCAGACAUGCUGUAGAAUCAACAGCUCAAUCAGAUAAUAAAGUAACCUGGAAUACUAUAAGAGAAUCAAUGGGCAAUAUUAUGUAUCAAUUGUCCUCUAUGAAGUUUAAGGAUCCUGUUAAAGAUGGUGAAAGUAAAAUUAAAACUGAUUUUGAACAAUUACAUGAGGAUAUGCAGCAGGCUUUUAGAAAUCUAGAGGAUUAAACAGCAACUAAUGUUUUUGUUUGUUCUCCCCUCCCUUUUUGAAAGAGGUGUCAUUUUGAAAAAUGCAAAAAAACAAAACAAAACCUGAACAAUAAUAGCGAAUAAUAUAAACCAAUUCUAUUGGUUAAUUAUCUAUUUAAACAUUAAACUAAAAAAAACUAUACAUACGUACAUUAUUAUGUACAGCCAUAAAUAUUAGUAAAAUAUAUAAAUAAUAAUGUUUGAAAAUUGUGUAAUUUUUUUUAUUAUUUUCUGUGUAACAUGUUAUUAUUUUUUCUAACUAUUCGUGUGUUGCUUGUUCUGAAAACGUAAUAAAAUUAAUAAAUCUUUAAUGUAAA